RNAcentral lists this ribosomal RNA (446 nucleotides) under uncultured bacterium. RNAcentral's name for it is "bacterial SSU rRNA". It matches the Rfam family "Bacterial small subunit ribosomal RNA", at positions 329 to 792 of the family's 1533-position model. The record is from RNAcentral.
AUCCAGACUCCUACGGGAGGCAGCAGUGGGGAAUAUUGCACAAUGGGGGAAACCCUGAUGCAGCGACGCCGCGUGAGCGAUGAAGUAUUUCGGUAUGUAAAGCUCUAUCAGCAGGGAAGAAGAUGACGGUACCUGACUAAGAAGCCCCGGCUAACUACGUGCCAGCAGCCGCGGUAAUACGUAGGGGGCAAGCGUUAUCCGGAUUUACUGGGUGUAAAGGGAGCGUAGACGGCGAUGCAAGCCAGAUGUGAAAGCCCGGGGCUCAACCCCGGGACUGCAUUUGGAACUGUGUGGCUGGAGUGUCGGAGAGGCAGGCGGAAUUCCUAGUGUAGCGGUGAAAUGCGUAGAUAUUAGGAGGAACACCAGUGGCGAAGGCGGCCUGCUGGACGAUGACUGACGUUGAGGCUCGAAAGCGUGGGGAGCAAACAGGAUUAGAUACCCGUGUA